CUUCCUUCCCGUAUUGCGGGACGAGAAAUAAAGGCCUCGCAGACACACUUCGAUCUGCUGUCAGAUUUUCUAUUGAAGUCGGGGCAGCUUCCUGAAGUAAGAAAAAUAAGAGAGAACUAGCAUUCUAAGAAAAAAUACCAGAAUGACACAUUUCAAAACCCACUUGCAUCAUUGAUGUUAAGACUGAUAAGGGCAUACGUGUCCUCUGACUGGAUGCCAGAGAUUGGAAC
Molecule: non-coding RNA, 230 nt
Organism: Pseudonaja textilis
Lineage: Eukaryota; Metazoa; Chordata; Lepidosauria; Squamata; Elapidae
Source: RefSeq, a predicted model, not a curated record